Molecule: long non-coding RNA, 4287 nt
Organism: Lagopus leucura (white-tailed ptarmigan)
Lineage: Eukaryota; Metazoa; Chordata; Aves; Galliformes; Phasianidae
Exons: 6
Source: RefSeq, a predicted model, not a curated record
AGCGCUCGGCGGCGAUCCCUUUGCCUUAAUUAGGAAUGGGGCAGGUGGAAAUGUCAACCCCCCUCCGUGGGGCUGAGCGAGGAAAUCAUUCUCCUUUUGCUUUCCCUUCUGCGGAUCGCAGCUGCACCCGGAUUCCCUGAAACCCCAACACGGACAAUGCAGAACGAGAGCGCCCUUCUGCUUCCUCUUUGUAUUCCCAUCCCAGAUCGCGGGGACGCGCUGUGUGGGGCGGGCAGCGUUCUGAUGGACGCAGUGAUGGGAAUUUGGAGCAUUGUUUCAAAGCAGCACCCGGCAGAGCUCCAGUCACCAAAGCACCGCGCGUUUCCUUCCUUCUGCUUAUCAGCACAGCGCCUGACAGUGCUGGCGGCAUUCCUGGCCAUAAAGGGGGCUGUAAAUAACGACCUAACGAUGCAGCUGGUUUUUGCAGGUGGAGGGACACUGGGGUCAGCCACCUUUGGUCACCGUGGAACCAAAUACAUUUGGAACAUGCCAUCUUCUGUGCAGCUGAGAAUUGCCCCCCAGCCCAGUACCCCAAACGGACGCCAACGAGAACAGCCGUCCUUCCUGGCAGCAGGGAGCCCUCCUGACCCAUGGCGUGGCCAUGCCGUCGCCGCGUGCUCACGAGUUCUUUUUUGAGCAGCACUACGGCUGCGUGCCGGAGCGUUUCUCCAAAGGCUGGGUGGCACUCACAUCAACAAUGCAAAACCCUUCGUACCCACUUGGAAGAACUGGAGAACCUUGGAAAAUUCUGAGCUGGAAGGAACCAUCGUGAUAUUCGUGUCCAAUUUCUACCUCCAUACAGGACUGCCCUGAAAGAAGAUAAGGAGCUCUAUCAGCUGGUGGCAAAACCAUGGGCUGGCAGGGUACCAAGCUUCUGUAGGAUAACAUUUGCUGGCACCUUGUCACAGAGCUGCCAACAGUGACAUGUUCCGUGUCACUGCAGCUGAUCCCACUGCUGCCCACGGUGGUGGGAGGGCUGUGAGCUGGGAGUGGGGACCAGUGGGAGGAAAUGGGGACCUCUGGGUGUGCUGUGGGGUGUGGGGGGGCAGAAUUGUUGGGGGAAGGGAAAGGGAUGGGCACAGAAGGAAUGGACUAAAGGUUGGCAUGAAAGAAACAGGGUGAGGCAGUGUGUAGAUGUCAGGCAAGAUGAUCAUAGAGGUCUUUUCUGACAUUAUUGAUUCUAUAGGGCUGGGAGGGGAAGGAAAGCUGGAGCCUGAAGGCAGGCAGCUUGUUUUUGCAGGGCCCAAUUAGGGAUGUAGAAAAAAAUUCCCAAAGUGUUGGGAUCUGCAGCUGUCCUGCUCCCACACCCCAUGACCUUACUCUGAAUGAAGCACACAUCUAUCCCGAUGCUGCAGGAAAGGGAGCUCUUUGGGGCUCAGUGCUCUGUGGGAGGAACCAUGGGGUUAGUGGGAAUGGCCAUGGAGAGGAGUGGGGAAUGGUUCUUCUUUGUAUCAGUGUGGUAAUAACAGCAGGAAUUCCACCUGCAGGAGCUGACAGAGCAGCUCUGUCCCCAUUGGAACCUCAUGUCUUUCAGCCCGUGUGUAACUCCACGAUGGGCCAAAGCUGGGGGAGAGGGAUCUGAAUUCAGUUCUGUCGGUGGACCUGGAUCUUGUUUUUCUGAGACUGUUUUUGUUGUUGCCAGAUGAACACACAAAAAGGAACAACUGUCCUUCAAUGGCAGUCAGUGCCCACGCAGAGCAGUGGUCCUCAUGGGAUGGUCACAAAGCGCCUGGAUACGUUCAGGAGGAGAUGUGUUGCUCUUCAAACCUGUGCUGCUUUGCUUUCCUCAUCCACACGUCCGUGCGUCUCUCAGCAAAAGGGUCUUUGGAAGAAAGAGUUGGGAACAGUGCAGAGCAGAUUUGCUCUGAGGAUCUCCUACAAUCUGCACUCCGGUGGAAACAUCAGCACCAGACCUUCCGUACAUUGAUUCCGAUCACAGCGCUCUAUGAAACAGCAAAAAAAGUGUCUGCAGUCACUCUGGAUUCCUCUUGGCCCCUUGUCAGCUGCUUUACGGUCGGUGAGUUCCAUCAUCAGGACUGGCAGCUCUGCAUCACCAGUUCUCCAUCACCUGCCCCCAAUUUUUGUCCGCUGUCCUCCGGAGUUACCAUCAACCUCUCACCUCUGUGACAGCGGGACGUGAAUUUCUGACAGCAUUUUCAGACAGGUGCAGCUCCUGUUGCACCCGUUUGCCUCUCUGCCCAUCCCUUGGCCACCCUGUGGCAAUGUGUUGAAACCUGUGCUGCUCUACCAGCCCUAAAGCCAUCAGCACUGCAGCGUAGUUAAUUAUGGGACGCUGCCAACCCCACUGCUGUGUCCUCAGCAAAGAGUUUCACUGAGCAUCUGAAUCACUCUCCGAAACAACAAGUCAGUGAUACAUUUUUCGUUGCUACCAAAACUUUUCACAUUUAGUUGUACCUGUAUCCAUUGUGGAUAUGGGGCACCCGCACCCACUGUGGGCUGAGCUGAGCCCUCACCCAUUGGGCUGUGCCCACACCGCUAUGGGCUGAACGUUCUCUUCCGUGCUGAAAAGCUACACAGAUGUCCAUCCAGGAGCAGAACGCUGAUGCAAUCCAGACAUCUUGUGAAAAAUUAAAAUAUGGUGCAUCCCACGUGCUCCAUCAGAAAGUGCCCUUUUGGAAAAAGAAGUUGUGAAUGGACUCGUGUUUACAUCACUUCUUACGCAUCUCACAGUGAAGUCUGUGCAUCCUCGCAGGGAACUCUCAGCCCAAAGGAAUCUCUUGGAAACCCGGGACACAUCAUCUUCAGGCCUGCAGCUUUUCUGAAGUCGUAGACCCAGCGUCUGUUCUUUGGAAAAGAAUUGAAAAAGGAGGGAAAAAAACCCCACAAACCAACAACAAAACCCCAAACCGUGUCCUUAGGGGUCAUGAAGUGUUGCAUUUCAUGGACUGUGGGAUGUCAGCACUGUGAAGUGGUCCCAGCACCACGCGUCCUCUACAUUCCUCACUGCCCCGUGCUCUGUAGCAGCACGAUUUCCCAUUGUGUUUCAAACAUUCUUCACUGGAGUUUUUAAUAACUACAGAUGUUAGAAGGGGUUUGGGAGCUGAGCUUUGAUGCUAUCCAACAUCCCACCCAUUGGGUUGCUAACUCCACUCCCAACGUCCAAUUGCACUCUUUUGUGUAAGCAGAGCAGUUCUGUUUUUUCUUUUUCUUUUUUUUUGUCUAAAUGCAUUAAAAUGGUCCAAAACCACAGAAGGACAACCUCAGUGUUAUCGACAGGAGAUGGCAAAUUCCCACCCUACUACAGGGAGAUCCCCAGUGUUUAUGGGAUGAUCUGAAGCCCACAGGAUCUGGAGGGGCUGCCCCGAUGUCGCAGUGCUGUUCAGUCCUUCUCUGCUGUGCAGAAUUCCCCUUGCCAGUGGGGCCCAUAAUGACGCUCGCAGAAACCCAUGGUUAAUUUUGGAUUGCUGUGGGUUGGGGUGGCUGGGUGUGGGACCCACAGGUCUCCAUCCACACUUGUUGGCGCAGGGCUCUGCCCGGUGUGCUGUGUGUGAGCUCGCUCUGACGAGAGCAGCAUCUUCAACUGCCUUCACCACGUCCUCAUUUCCAACAUGCUCUCCUCCCUUCUGCUCCCAGAGCCCUCCUGAGCCCCGGCACCAGGCAGCACAGUCCCACAUCACAUCCCAACUUUCUCCUCCAUCCCUGCACGUGGAUCUGUCUGUACCGAGGGGUCUGUGCUCCCCAGGACACACAGCGCGUUCCUGACCCUCGGCAGUGGGAAUCCACCAAGGGAGCGGUGAUGGAGGAUUGUCCGAGGGCAUGAAGCCAACACAGAGGCAUAGGAAGCACUCCUGUCUGCAGGGCUCCUUCUGACCACUGUGUGUGACAUGAGGAGAAGCUCACAGGGAGGCUCUGUGGGACCCUUCCCAAAGCUACCGGGGCCCUACGGAGGCAGAAUGAGUAUGGUAAAAACACAGCAUCUACCCACAGCAACGGCUCACUACGAGUUAAUAAGAACUGGCAGCAGAUGAACGGAGGUCAAGGCUGGGAGGAGCGGUGGGCACUUGGCAUUUACAGGGGGAAAAUAAAGGGAUAGCAAGGGGGAAAAUGGACUCUUUUCAUUUCUUGCAUUAGCGAUCCCCUGGGGCAGCAGAGUGUCGCAGUGAGCUGGGACUGAAAAGAAGAACAGAUCUGUCUGUGGGCAAAUGGACUGCGGGAUGCUCUUUGCUCACUGCGAGGAGGUGGAGUCUCUGUUUGCUCCGAGCUCUCUGCAGACCAUUGCUGGACACGAUGGAACCCAUCCUGAAAAGAAAACGUGCUAUCCUUGGA